Molecule: ribosomal RNA, 368 nt
Filed under: uncultured Eubacteriales bacterium
Lineage: Bacteria; Bacillati; Bacillota; Clostridia; Eubacteriales
Description: bacterial SSU rRNA
Rfam family: Bacterial small subunit ribosomal RNA
Source: RNAcentral
UUCUUCGGACAGAGGAGACAGGUGGUGCAUGGUUGUCGUCAGCUCGUGUCGUGAGAUGUUGGGGUUUAAAGUCCCCGGCAACGAGCGCAACCCUUGUCUUUAGUUGCCAUCAUUCAGUUGGGCACUCUAGAGAGACUGCCGAGGACAACUCGGAGGAAGGUGGGGAUGACGUCAAAUCAUCAUGCCCCUUAUGUCCUGGGCUACACACGUGCUACAAUGGCUGGUACAAAGAGACGCAAGACCGCGAGGUGGAGCAAAUCUCAAAAACCAGUCCCAGUUCGGAUUGCAGGCUGCAACUCGCCUGCAUGAAGUCGGAGUUGCUAGUAAUCGCAGAUCAGAAUGCUGCGGUGAAUGCGUUCCCGGGUCUU